CGUGUAGGCGGGCGCGUAAGUCCGGUGUAAAAUCCCUCGGCUCAACCGAGGAAGGUCAUUGGAUACUGCGUGUCUGGAGUGCGGGAGAGGAGAGUGGAACUCUUGGUGGAGCGGUGAAAUGCGUAGAUAUCAAGAGGAACGCCGGUGGCGAAAGCGGCUCUCUGGCCCGUUACUGACGCUGAGGCGCGAAAGCUAGGGGAGCAAACG
This 207-nucleotide ribosomal RNA is filed under the name uncultured bacterium. Its description in RNAcentral is "partial 16S ribosomal RNA". It matches the Rfam family "Bacterial small subunit ribosomal RNA", at positions 568 to 774 of the family's 1533-position model. The record is from RNAcentral.